CUACGGGACCAAAACAGCAGAGAAGUUUAGCUUCGUGCUUCAAGGCUCUUAGUUGUGGAAAUGUACCCACUCUGCUGUUUACUUUGUGCAUCUAUAUCAUAUCGCUGAGUCUACCUUUAAUUGUGCGAAUGUCUCUUGUUGCAGUCUAUCGUGAGGACCUUAAAUGCCCACAGAGACACCACAACAGACACAAACAAAAGGAGCCAGAGGUCAGGUCUCUCCGUGUGGGCGACACAAGAGAAACCAGGACAAGAGGCUGUGGAACCACCCAACCAUCGCAAGAGGCCCAACAACGAGAAGGCCACUGAUGUCUACCACUUCGAGAAGUUCAAGAAGAUAAAUCGCAGAUACUGGGGACAGAUUGUCCCUAGGACUGGAGAUUGAAAAAUCUCUACUAAACAUGAUUUUUAGUCUAGGACUAGGCUUAAUCUGUGUCCAGGAAACCAGCCCUAAAUGUUCUUCAGAAAACAAAAAUCUGCCUGUUUUCCUCGUAAACACCUUUGUAUUUAUAGCCCCUUUUCCUUUUGUUUCCAGCAUUGUUAUUUUGUCUGGGACUUGAUCAAUGUUAUGUAUUGAAUAUAUUUGUAUUUUACCAUUACAGAUAGCAUGUGAAAUGUCAUAAAUCUGAAUUAUGUGAUGGUGUCAUUCCAUCCUUGGUUUCUACAAUACAUUUCCCGUGCUAUUUUAGAAUUUUUGUGUCAAAGAUAGAAUAAAAGUAAUUUUGUUGUAGCAGAAUACAUUUUCUGAUUUUUCCAGAAAUAUCUGGGAUUUUUUUAGAGAUAAGAGGCCGAAGCUUGAGUUUAUAAUUAUGUUUUAUUGACUUGUCGAAUCCUUCAUGGAAUUAACAGACACUAACUGAAAUUGCUAAAUUACAAAAUAAUGCUGCAAAAGAAAUCCAAUAACGUAACAUCCAUACACUUGCAUGACAGGCAGUCCUAUAGUCAUACAUUUAAACAUGUUUUAACAGAACGAAAGAAAAUAGCAUCUAGUAAUACUGUACAUCUCUGCCACUGAGUUAACUGAAAUGUGCUUCACCUAACGAAAUAUCAACAAUGUACAUAAUGGGCAUAUUAACACCAGAAAGAGCAAAAUACAACACCUUUAUAAUCUUAGAUUUCCAGGGACACAUUUUAAGUUGUUUAGGCCAGCUAAUUAAGUCUUCAAACUAGUUGUAUUAUUACUUCUAAUCUUGUCCCAACUAUUCAUGAAUGAUCAACACUAAAAUGUCAAAUACGUUGCUACAGAUCUUACAGCAUUUAUGAACUGUUACAGUUGAUU
RNAcentral lists this long non-coding RNA (1278 nucleotides) under Salmo trutta (river trout). Its description in RNAcentral is "lncRNA (ENSSTUG00000043403.1)". Lineage: Eukaryota; Metazoa; Chordata; Actinopteri; Salmoniformes; Salmonidae. The record is from RNAcentral.